This 497-nucleotide ribosomal RNA is filed under the name uncultured bacterium. Its description in RNAcentral is "partial 16S ribosomal RNA". It matches the Rfam family "Bacterial small subunit ribosomal RNA", at positions 28 to 507 of the family's 1533-position model. The record is from RNAcentral.
GAUGAACGCUGGCGGCGUGCCUAAUACAUGCAAGUCGAGCGAACAGACGAGGAGCUUGCUCCUCUGACGUUAGCGGCGGACGGGUGAGUAACACGUGGAUAACCUACCUAUAAGACUGGGAUAACUUCGGGAAACCGGAGCUAAUACCGGAUAAUAUAUUGAACCGCAUGGUUCAAUAGUGAAAGACGGUUUUGCUGUCACUUAUAGAUGGAUCCGCGCCGCAUUAGCUAGUUGGUAAGGUAACGGCUUACCAAGGCAACGAUGCGUAGCCGACGUGAGAGGAGGAUCGGCCACACGGGAGCGGAGACGGGGCCCAGCCGCCUGCGGGAGGCAGAAGAGGGGAACGUUCGGCAGUGGGGGAAAACUGGCCGGAACAGGGCGGGGGGGGUGAGGAGGACCUCGGGUUCGAAAAGCCUGUUUAUUGGGGAAAAACAAAUGUGGAAUAAAAUGAACAGGUCGUGACGGUACCUAAUAAAGAAGCCCCGGCUAACUACGUG